AUUAAAAUUAAUAAAUAAAGAAAACAUUUGUCUUCUUUCUACCCUAAUCUCUCGACUUCAAUUGUUUUUUACAGCCGACGACACAAACAAAGAAAAAACAAGUCAAGACUUCUCACAUUGAACUCCACUUCUCCGUCGCAUAUCUCGCCACCGCCGAUUAGAGGAGAGUAGCCAUAAACGCCAGUGCUCCUUCUCUGGAGAAUCUGCCGUCAAUUUCAGCGUUCGGCGACGCUAGAGUCUCCGGCGGUUUUCAUUCUCCGGAGGUUCUUUAAAUUUCCGGCGUUCGGCCCUUCCACGUCGACCCGUCAUCUGCUUUGCGAGUGCUUCUUCCUCUAAUCCUCUCCUCUUGUCACUGUUUCCUUCCUUCCUCCAUUAACGACAUUAUCCUUCUCAAUUGACAAUCCAGCAGCUACAGACGUCGUUGAUUCAUCAAUUGGUUUUAUUUCUCGUCUUCGUCUUUCUUCACACAGUCUCAAUUUAGACAAUUGAUCUCAUUCGUCAAUAUAAUUUGUGGCCAAAUUCAUAGAAUUCUAAGAUUCUUCAUUAUUCAGGAAUGACGUCUUCGAGUAAUGUCUUCAAAUAUCCUCCUCGUCUAUAUGCAGAAGGAAAAUCACCUUUGCAACAUAGAAGCAUGAACCACAAUUGUUAUCUGUCCAAGAAUGGUCUCAUCAGAGAAGGAUUAGGUCUUGAUGUGUGGGAUGAAUUGGAGAAACCAUCACUAGGUGUGUUUAUUAAGCUAGCAGAACUAGAGUACACAUGGGCUGCCAAGAAAGUACAUCUUUGCAGGGUCGUCUCUGUUUCAGUAUCACGAUUACGAUUUUGUUUUUCGUGUAGGUAUAUGACAUUGUGAUUCUGUAUUGAUUUUUAUCCCGUUCAUGAUACUAAUCUCAUACGUACGGAACCAAAA
Arabidopsis lyrata subsp. lyrata is the source of this 907-nucleotide long non-coding RNA. RefSeq lists it as uncharacterized. The record is from RefSeq and is a predicted model, not a curated record. NCBI's taxonomy places the organism in Eukaryota, Viridiplantae, Streptophyta, Magnoliopsida, Brassicales, Brassicaceae. The transcript is spliced from 4 exons.